This is a long non-coding RNA of Amphimedon queenslandica, 416 nucleotides long. RefSeq lists it as uncharacterized. The transcript is spliced from 4 exons. NCBI's taxonomy places the organism in Eukaryota, Metazoa, Porifera, Demospongiae, Haplosclerida, Niphatidae. The record is from RefSeq and is a predicted model, not a curated record.
CAUGCACUAAAAGAUAUUGCUACCUCUAUAUUACACCAGUUAGGUCAGCCUAUACCCAAAAAUGUCAGUUUACAUACUGUACUACUAUCACCAGUUGAUGGUAUAUUAAAUACACGAGUUACAAUGAAUGAUUUGAUAUGUAAAGGAACACGUCUUGCUAAUGAUUCUCUAGGGAGCAGUGGAGAAAUACCAAGACUUGGUUCCACUAUCAAAUAUAAUGUAAAGGGUUAUCUAGAUAAUGAACUAAAGUGGAAGUGGGUGUGUACAUUGGAAGAUACAUGUACAGGAUUGAAAACAGAAGGGCCUCCUAUGCAAAGUCAUGAUGAUGCAAUCAAACAUUGUCUUAAAAGGAUAUGAGCUGUUCUAACUCAGCAUUUCUAUUCCAUUUUGCAAAGGAUAUAAAUUCUUAAAAGCAA